AUGCAUAGGAAUCUACCUAGUAGUAUAGGAUAGCCACUAGAAAUGGUGGGUAAUACUGUAUAAUCCCUGCGGGGGAAAGAUUUAUCGCUACAUGAUGAGCCUAUGUUAGAUUAGCUAGUUGGUAGGGUAAAGGCCUACCAAGGCGAUGAUCUAUAGCUGGUCUGAGAGGAUGAUCAGCCACACUGGAACUGAGAUACGGUCCAGACUCCUACGGGAGGCAGCAGUGGGGAAUAUUGGACAAUGGGCGCAAGCCUGAUCCAGCUAUGCCGCGUGAGUGAGGAAGGCCUUAGGGUUGUAAAACUCUUUCAGUAGGGAAGAUAAUGACGGUACCUA
RNAcentral lists this ribosomal RNA (333 nucleotides) under Anaplasma phagocytophilum. Its description in RNAcentral is "bacterial SSU rRNA". It matches the Rfam family "Bacterial small subunit ribosomal RNA", at positions 113 to 481 of the family's 1533-position model. The record is from RNAcentral. Lineage: Bacteria; Pseudomonadati; Pseudomonadota; Alphaproteobacteria; Rickettsiales; Anaplasmataceae.